This 110-nucleotide non-coding RNA is filed under the name unclassified sequences. Its description in RNAcentral is "Termite-leu RNA". It matches the Rfam family "Termite-leu RNA". The record is from RNAcentral.
AGUAGCCGGUAAGGGCACGGAGUUCCUUUUUAGGAAAAUCUGCAGCCUUUACCGGGUUUCUCAAGUUCUGGAGUGGGGAAAACCCAUUCACAGGAUUGGUAUAUAGGAGG